This 74-nucleotide transfer RNA is filed under the name Thiotrichales bacterium SG8_50. RNAcentral describes it as "tRNA-Thr". It matches the Rfam family "tRNA". From Rfam's summary of the family: Transfer RNA (tRNA) molecules are approximately 80 nucleotides in length. Their secondary structure includes four short double-helical elements and three loops (D, anti-codon, and T loops). The record is from RNAcentral. Lineage: Bacteria; Pseudomonadati; Pseudomonadota; Gammaproteobacteria; Thiotrichales.
CACGCGGUAGCUUAAAGAGAGCAAAGCCUUCCGAUUGUACGGGAGAGACGGAGGUUCGAUCCCUCCCCGCGUGA